UAGGGAAUCUUCGGCAAUGGACGGAAGUCUGACCGAGCAACGCCGCGUGAGUGAAGAAGGUUUUCGGAUCGUAAAACUCUGUUGCCAGAGAAGAAAGCUAAGGAGAGUCACUGCUCUUUGGUUGACGGUAUCUGAGAAGAAAGCCCCGGCUAACUACGUGCCAGCAGCCGCGGUAAUACGUAGGGGGCAAGCGUUGUCCGGAAUUAUUGGGCGUAAAGCGCGCGCAGGCGGCUGAGUAAGUCUGGUGUUUAAACCUGGGGCUCAACCUCGGGUCGCAUUGGAAACUGCUUGGCUGGAGUGCAGGAGAGGAAAGUGGAAUUCCACGUGUAGCGGUGAAAUGCGUAGAGAUGUGGAGGAACACCAGUGGCGAAGGCGACUUUCUGGCCUGUAACUGACGCUGAGGCGCGAAAGCGUGGGGAGCAAACA
This 426-nucleotide ribosomal RNA is filed under the name uncultured Paenibacillus sp. RNAcentral's name for it is "bacterial SSU rRNA". It matches the Rfam family "Bacterial small subunit ribosomal RNA", at positions 355 to 774 of the family's 1533-position model. Lineage: Bacteria; Bacillati; Bacillota; Bacilli; Caryophanales; Paenibacillaceae. The record is from RNAcentral.